This 355-nucleotide unclassified non-coding RNA is filed under the name soil metagenome. RNAcentral's name for it is "partial contains 5.8S ribosomal RNA, internal transcribed spacer 2, and large subunit ribosomal RNA". The stretch from base 1 to 120 matches the Rfam family "5.8S ribosomal RNA", at positions 35 to 154 of the family's 154-position model. The record is from RNAcentral.
GAUGAAGAACUCAGCGAAAUGCGAUAAGUAGUGUGAAUUGCAGAAUUCAGUGAAUCAUCGAAUCUUUGAACGCACAUUGCGCCUUCUAGUAUUCUGGGAGGCAUGCCUGUUUGAGCGUCAUUAAACCUCUCUCAAGUAUGAUUACUUGGAUGUGAAGGAAGAGUACCUUAAACUUAAGGAGUGUUCUCCUUUGAAAUUGAUUAGCAGAUGGUAAUGUUAUUAAAUCCCUGAUGUUGUAAGAAAUAACAGUGGUUUUGUAGACUAUUAUCUAGCUUUAAAUUAUAAUUUUUAUUAUGGUUGACCUCAAAUCAGGUAAGGAUACCCGCUGAACUUAAGCAUAUCAAUAAGCGGAGGA